This is a non-coding RNA of Mycena capillaripes, 95 nucleotides long. The record is from the annotation of a GenBank genome assembly. NCBI's taxonomy places the organism in Eukaryota, Fungi, Basidiomycota, Agaricomycetes, Agaricales, Mycenaceae.
GCAUUGAUGGGGCAGAGGCAGCCCACGGCCUCUUCAUCAUAGAUUCGCCUCGGGAUUAAUGGGCCGAGAGCGGGGUUCGGCUCCCCGUCGAUGCA